This 254-nucleotide ribosomal RNA is filed under the name uncultured bacterium. RNAcentral's name for it is "partial 16S ribosomal RNA". It matches the Rfam family "Bacterial small subunit ribosomal RNA", at positions 524 to 776 of the family's 1533-position model. The record is from RNAcentral.
UACGUAGGGAGCAAGCGUUGUUCGGAUUUACUGGGCGUAAAGGGCGCGUAGGCGGCUAAUUAAGUCGGCUGUGAAAUCUCCGAGCUUAACUCGGAACGGUCAGCUGAUACUGAUCUGCUAGAGUGCGGAAGGGGCAAUCGGAAUUCUUGGUGUAGCGGUGAAAUGCGUAGAUAUCAAGAGGAACCCCGGAGGUGAAGACGGGUUGCUGGGCCGACACUGACGCUGAGUGCGCGAAAGCCAGGGGAGCAAACGGG